This 93-nucleotide transfer RNA is filed under the name Actinomycetes bacterium. Its description in RNAcentral is "Actinobacteria bacterium tRNA-Ser". It matches the Rfam family "tRNA". Rfam says of the family: Transfer RNA (tRNA) molecules are approximately 80 nucleotides in length. Their secondary structure includes four short double-helical elements and three loops (D, anti-codon, and T loops). Lineage: Bacteria; Bacillati; Actinomycetota; Actinomycetes. The record is from RNAcentral.
GGAAGGGUGGCAGAGCGGUUGAAUGCGGCGGUCUUGAAAACCGUUAGGCGGCGUUGAGCCGUCUCGGGGGUUCGAAUCCCUCCCCUUCCGCUA